CAAAUUGACCCAAACCCCUGACGGCGUGCUUGUUCAUGGAGAUUGAUGGAGCUAAGUGGGUCAGCGAGACUGAGAGCUUAUGAUUUGAAAGGUGGAAGCAUUCAGUUCCGUGAGCUCAGGGAUUUCUUGCUACGCCGUAAACUUCUUUUGUUUUGGGGGGGUUACCAUCAAGCUUCAUUUGUGGGCACAGACAAGGUUUUGACCAGAGUCUUCGACGUAUCUGAAGACCUAUGCUAUUGCCGCCAUCUUCUAAUUGUGGACAUUGUUCCAGCUUUUCUGCACUGCUUAUGGAACAAGUAUUUAUUAAUUUUUUAGUUUAAUCGCCCAUAUUUCAUUAAGAGGGGGGAACACACCACAACGAGCAUUUUUUAGCAGGACAAAGGAAAUGCUCAAUCUCUGGAUUCUGUAUGUGAUCUCUAGCAUUUUUGCUUCUUAGAAUUAAUCGUGUUCCCUUUUUUUAUGCCAAUAGCCAAGAAUGGAUACAAAUAGUUGAAGUUUGAUGCAAUGGACAAGUAACACAUUCGUGCCAACAGAGAUAACUUACUCAAUGGUCAUUAUUGAGAAAUUUGACGUAUAUAGCUUUGCUAUAGUAAUGUUAGAAGUUCCAAUGUGAAGAUAUCCUGUUGAAUUGAUACAACAGUGCCAACUUUGAUUGAGCAACAUAUAUUGCUAAAAGGGGUGCUGGAUCAAUGCAUAUUAUCAAACUUCACGAGCCACUCAAUGUAAUGGAAUUAAAUUGAUGGAUUUAUAAAGCAGGGGAAGAAAAAAAAAGCUCUGCCGUAUUUGACUCGGAGGGAACCCCUAAGCAAGGCAAGGAAAUCUCUGCACGCUUUUGGAAAGGAGGAAGAUGAGGGGGGGAGCACAGAGAAAGAAAAGCAAAGGAAUUCAAAGGCCUCGGUUGAUAUCUUUAUAGCCCCCUGUGAAGCCUUGGGAUGCUGCUGUCCCUAUGAUGGGGCGCAUCCAAGGGCCCUCAUUGAUACUGUGACGGAAUCGAUUAAAGAAGAAACAGCACAGCUGCUGCUGUGUGCGAACGCAGAGAUUGGGGUCGUUGCGCUGCUUGCUUUGCAGCUAGCUAGCUGCUUUUGUCAUUCACCUGCGUUGGGGCGUGGUUUUUUUUUCCCGCUUUUCUUCUGAGAGAGGGGCUGAAGGCUAAAAGCCUUUCACUUCUCGCGCAGAAUCGCAUUAUGCGAGAUGUCUUGGAGAUAAAAGAGUUGUCCGUAAUAGUAUGCGUGCGAAAAUCGCGAACAUGCAUUGUAAAUCUCAGUAGUUGUUUCCUAAGUUUUUUUCCGGCAGAACAUGCAUUGAUUCAUGACGGUGUUUUAGCUUCAAAGUGUACGUGAGCGUUGGCUAUUUAUGGGGUUAUUGCUAAUCA
Asparagus officinalis (garden asparagus) is the source of this 1372-nucleotide long non-coding RNA. RefSeq lists it as uncharacterized. The transcript has 5 exons. The record is from RefSeq and is a predicted model, not a curated record. NCBI's taxonomy places the organism in Eukaryota, Viridiplantae, Streptophyta, Magnoliopsida, Asparagales, Asparagaceae.